This 2053-nucleotide unclassified non-coding RNA is filed under the name Melitaea cinxia (Glanville fritillary). RNAcentral's name for it is "misc RNA ENSMCXG00005007229.1". The record is from RNAcentral. Lineage: Eukaryota; Metazoa; Arthropoda; Insecta; Lepidoptera; Nymphalidae.
GUUUCCUUAUCAUGGUACUAAACUUGGGAUAUCUCCUUUCCAACAAAAAAAGAAUUAUCAAAAUCGGUACAUCCAGUAUAAAGUUAUGCGGUAUAAUACAACGUAGGUCGACGAAAAAAGCGUCAAGUAAAAACACAUUAUUAGAUAUAACUCGAAAAGUAGUUGUUAGAUCUCAAAUAAAUUUAAAUGGGACCAAUUGGCACACACCACCUUUCGAUUAAAACAAAAUUUGUCGAAAUUGGUCCACACGGGCAAAAGUUCUGAUGUAACAUACAUAAAAAAAAAAAAAAAAAAAAAAAAAAAAAAAAAUACAGUCGAAUUGAGAACCUCCUCCUUUUUUGGAAGUCGGUUAAAAAAAAUAUAUAUACGGUCGAAUUGUGUAACCUCCUUCUUUUUUUGAAGUCGGUUAAAAAUAAAAUAAAUAAUUAAUAAUAAAUAAUAUAAAAUUUUAAUUAAUUAAAACAAUAAAAUUGAAGAUCAAACGAAAUUAACAGGUGAAGUUCGAUGAUAAUUAUGUUUACUAGACAUUAGACACUGUAUAGCUAUCAUACAUGACUAUACAUAAGAAUCUUAUGCUUUAUUUAAAGUUACGGACGUUUUUUUUGCCGGCUAAAAGGGCUGUAAUAGAGAAACUUGCUAGCACGUAUGAAUAAUCUAGACAGUCACUUAUCCAUACCCACACCCACUUACACACAAAUACACAGGCAUACACACUCACAAAAUAACACAUACACAUCUACGCAUUAUUGACCAUGGAUAUUUUACAUUUUAUAUAUUUCUAAUUUUUAUUGUAACUUUGUUUUACUACCUCAACUCAACUUUGUCUACCUUAACAGUGUAACUUAAAUAAUGUAAAAUCCGAAAUUGACUUUUGUUUGGAUGAUCUGUAUUGGUUUAAGAAACAUAAAAUGUAGCUGUGGAUUUUUGUACAAAUAAAUAAAUAAACAUUCAAAUAUGCGUCGUUAGAUUACACGUUGUUAUAGAAUGCGUUGAAGAAAUAAAGGUUCACUGCUCGUUCCCCUUAGGUGAUAGCGUGAUAAUAUGUAGCCUGUAUGUUGACCCGACUUCUUAAUAAUAUUCUUGCCAAAUUUGAAGUAAAUCCAUGCGGUACUUUUUGAGUUUAUUCCAGACAUACAUACAGACAAACAGACAAAAAUUCUAAAUACUAUAUUUUUGGCUUCGGUAUCGAUUGUAGAUCACACCUCAAGUAUUCUUUAAAAUAAUUGUGUUUGCUGGCAAACGAAAAAAAACCGACUUCAAUUACAUCGAAUUCAAGAGUUUCCCUCGAUUUGUCUGAGAUCCCAAAUGGAUGGAUAGUACCAAAGUAGGAAUAUCUCCUUUCCAACAAAAAAUGAAUUAUUAAAAUCGGUUCAUAAGCGACGGAGUUAUCCCCGAACAUACAUAAAAAAUUUAUACUAAUAUUAUAAAUCUGAAGUUUGUUUGUUUGUUUGUUUGUUUGUUUGUUUGAACGCGCUAAUUUCAGAAACUACUGGUCCGAUUUGAAAAAUUCUUUUUGUGUUAGAUAGCCCAUUUAUCGAGGAAGGUUAUAGGCUAUAUAAUAUCAUUACGCUAAGACCAGAAGGAGCGGAGCACCAAUGAAGAAUGUUUCAAAAUCGGGGGUUCUUUUUGUGCGCUGUGAAAACAAAGUUUCACAAAAAUCACGUAUGACAGAAUUGAUCCUCUUCAAAAGUUCUAAAAAAAAGUCCGCGACGGCAUAUACCUGUCUAUCUUUUAAGGUUGGCUCACUCUAACCUUUUUUAUGCUAACCAAGUUUGUUCUAAAAUAAUGCAUUAUUUGCGAAGAUGUUUUUAUAAACAUGAUAUUAAUCCUUAUUUAAAUAAAUACGUUAUCCAUUACAAGUAUUUAAUUUAAAACAUAAUAACUUUCUACAUAAUUCGAUUUCAAUGAGUAUCUCAGGAGAUAUCACAGUUUUAAAAUAACAUCGCAGCAAAAUAAUGAUCAAGUAUUGCGCGCGCCUCUGUUCCACGCGGACGAAGUCGCGCGCAGAAGCUAGCCCAGCAGGCAGAAGCCCAAUAAAAAAAUUAGACACAGG